RNAcentral lists this transfer RNA (71 nucleotides) under Synura synuroidea. Its description in RNAcentral is "tRNA-Gly". It matches the Rfam family "tRNA". Rfam says of the family: Transfer RNA (tRNA) molecules are approximately 80 nucleotides in length. Lineage: Eukaryota; Synurophyceae; Synurales; Mallomonadaceae. The record is from RNAcentral.
AAGGGUAUAAAUUAAUGGUAGAUUAUUUGCCUUCCAAGCAAAUUGUGUGAGUUCAAAUCUCAUUGCCCUUA